This is a long non-coding RNA of Chiroxiphia lanceolata (lance-tailed manakin), 591 nucleotides long. RefSeq lists it as uncharacterized. NCBI's taxonomy places the organism in Eukaryota, Metazoa, Chordata, Aves, Passeriformes, Pipridae. The transcript has 4 exons. The record is from RefSeq and is a predicted model, not a curated record.
GGCGGGGCGGGAAGGAUGGAGCGAGAUUGGGAUGGGGAGGAGGAAAGCGCAGCGGCUGUCGGGGUGUAACGGCUGUUCACAUAACAGCAGUGGAGCAGGAACUAGUAGAAGAAUGAAAAUUCCUCACCAAGUACUGCCAAAUAAUUUGUGAAAGCUGAGGACCAGUCUGAACAGAAGGGGAUCCCGCACUUGACAAACAGCAAAUGUUCUCAUGCAAUGGAACAAAACUAGAAGGGAAAGAAAGGAAAAAAACGUCCAAUGAGAAAAUCUCAUUGGAUACUACAAGAAGCAGAAACCAGACGGAGCUUUUCCCCCAUAUUCUUCCCUGCCAGACUCAGAAUCCAUCAGGACAACUCUCCCAGUGAUUCAUUGCUGCCAUCUGCAUGAUUGCCUUCAGAAGUCUGAGUUUUGCUUCUUUGUUUGCCUCUCUAUUCUACGUUUUUGAUCAUUUAUCAUGGCUACUCUUGCUAUGCCUAUUCUGCAACUUGAACAUCCCAUUCCUUUGAACUACAUAUAUUAAAGUUUUGAGCUUGUACUUUAUUAUGGUCUGGGAUGCACAUAAGAAUGCAAGUUUGUUGCUUUCUAAUCACU